This 30-nucleotide non-coding RNA is filed under the name Mus musculus (house mouse). Lineage: Eukaryota; Metazoa; Chordata; Mammalia; Rodentia; Muridae. The record is from RNAcentral.
UCUGAACUGCAGGGAAACAGAGUUGCCCCA